CUUGGUCAUUUAGAGGAAGUAAAAGUCGUAACAAGGUUUCCGUAGGUGAACCUGCGGAAGGAUCAUUAACGAGUAAACAGGGGAGUUGUAGCUGGCCGCAAGGCAUGUGCACGCUCCCUACUCAAUCCCACCUUACACCUGUGCAUCUAUUGUAGGUCGGGUGGCUUGGCUCCAUGUCAGGCUGUCCUUCCUAUGUCUACACAUACACUUUAUAGUUUCAGAAUGUAAACCUGCGUAUAACGCAUCUAUAAACAACUUUCAACAACGGAUCUCUUGGCUCUCGCAUCGAUGAAGAACGCAGCGAAAUGCGAUAAGUAAUGUGAAUUGCAGAAUUCAGUGAAUCAUCGAAUCUUUGAACGCACCUUGCACUCCUUGGUAUUCCGAGGAGUAUGCCUGUUUGAGUGUCAUGAAUAUCUCAACUCACCCGGUUUUUGUAAAUUGUGGUGGGCUUGGACUUGGAGGUAUGCUGGCUUUACUAGUCGGCUCCUCUUUAAAUGUAUUAGCUGGACCCGUUACGGAUCAGUACUCGGUGUGAUAAUUGUCUACGCCGUGUCUGUGAAGUGCCUUAGUGGAUCAGCUGCUAAUCGUCUUCGGACAAUUUGACAUUUUGACCUCAAAUCAGGUAGGAUUACCCGCUGAACUUAAGCAUAUCAAUAAGCGGAGGAAAAGAAACUAACAAGGAUUCCCCUAGUAACUGCGAGUGAAGCGGGAAGAGCUCAAAUUUAAAAUCUGGCGGUCUUUGGCCGUCCGAGUUGUAUUCUGGAGAAGUGCUUUCCGCGCUGGACCGUGUACAAGUCUCCUGUGGGCUUGGACUUGGAGGUAUGCUGGCUUUACUAGUCGGCUCCUCUUUAAAUGUAUUAGCUGGACCCGUUACGGAUCAGUACUCGGUGUGAUAAUUGUCUACGCCGUGUCUGUGAAGUGCCUUAGUGGAUCAGCUGCUAAUCGUCUUCGGACAAUUUGACAUUUUGACCUCAAAUCAGGUAGGAUUACCCGCUGAACUUAAGCAUAUCAAUAAGCGGAGGAAAAGAAACUAACAAGGAUUCCCCUAGUAACUGCGAGUGAAGCGGGAAGAGCUCAAAUUUAAAAUCUGGCGGUCUUUGGCCGUCCGAGUUGUAUUCUGGAGAAGUGCUUUCCGCGCUGGACCGUGUACAAGUCUCCUG
This 1160-nucleotide ribosomal RNA is filed under the name Gloeophyllum trabeum. Its description in RNAcentral is "eukaryotic LSU rRNA". The stretch from base 254 to 407 matches the Rfam family "5.8S ribosomal RNA". Lineage: Eukaryota; Fungi; Basidiomycota; Agaricomycetes; Gloeophyllales; Gloeophyllaceae. The record is from RNAcentral.